AUUGAACGCUGGCGGCAGGCUUAACACAUGCAAGUCGAUCGGAGAUGAGGUGCUUGCACCUUAUCUUAGCGGCGGACGGGUGAGUAAUGCUUAGGAAUCUGCCUAUUAGUGGGGGACAACAUUCCGAAAGGAAUGCUAAUACCGCAUACGUCCUACGGGAGAAAGCAGGGGAUCUUCGGACCCUGCGCUAAUAGAUGAGCCUAAGUCGGAUUAGCUAGUUGGUGGGGUAAAGGCCUACCAAGGCGACGAUCUGUAGCGGGUCUGAGAGGUGGAUCCGCCACACUGGGACUGAGACACGGCCCAGACUCCUACGGGAGGCAGCAGUGGGGAAUAUUGGACAAUGGGGGGAACCCUGAUCCAGCCAUGCCGCGUGUGUGAAGAAGGCCUUAUGGUUGUAAAGCACUUUAAGCGAGGAGGAGGCUACUGAGACUAAUACUCUUGGAUAGUGGACGUUACUCGCAGAAUAAGCACCGGCUAACUCUGUGCCAGCCGCCGCCGUAA
Molecule: ribosomal RNA, 501 nt
Filed under: uncultured bacterium
Lineage: Bacteria
Description: partial 16S ribosomal RNA
Rfam family: Bacterial small subunit ribosomal RNA
Source: RNAcentral